CCUACGGGAGGCAGCAGUGGGGAAUUUUGGACAAUGGGCGAAAGCCUGAUCCAGCAAUGCCGCGUGUGGGAAGAAGGCCUUCGGGUUGUAAACCACUUUUGUACGGAACGAAACGGUCUGCUUUAAUAAAGUGGGCUAAUGACGGUACCGUAAGAAUAAGCACCGGCUAACUACGUGCCGGCAGCCGCGGUAAUACGUAGGGUGCGAGCGUUAAUCGGAAUUACUGGGCGUAAAGCGUGCGCAGGCGGUUAUAUAAGACAGUUGUGAAAUCCCCGGGCUCAACCUGGGAAUUGCAUCUGUGACUGUAUAGCUAGAGUACGGUAGAGGGGGAUGGAAUUCCGCGUGUAGCAGUGAAAUGCGUAGAUAUGCGGAGGAACACCGAUGGCGAAGGCAAUCCCCUGGACCUGUACUGACGCUCAUGCACGAAAGCGUGGGGAGCAAACAGGAUUAGAUACCCUGGUAGUCCACGCCCUAAACGAUGUCAACUGGUUGUUGGGUGNAUAUAUCAUACGAAGACUACGCGUGAGUAGUACGCCGUGGAGGUACGGCCGCGAGUAGAACGACAANAGAAGUAGUACGGCGUGAGACGUGCCGACGGACGACGACGAGGGAGGAGG
RNAcentral lists this ribosomal RNA (617 nucleotides) under uncultured bacterium. Its description in RNAcentral is "bacterial SSU rRNA". The stretch from base 1 to 536 matches the Rfam family "Bacterial small subunit ribosomal RNA", at positions 338 to 873 of the family's 1533-position model. The record is from RNAcentral.